RNAcentral lists this ribosomal RNA (467 nucleotides) under uncultured archaeon. Its description in RNAcentral is "bacterial SSU rRNA". It matches the Rfam family "Archaeal small subunit ribosomal RNA", at positions 1 to 474 of the family's 1478-position model. The record is from RNAcentral.
UUCUGGUUGAUCCUGCCGGACCUGACUGCUAUCGGAUUGAUACUAAGCCAUGCGAGUCUUUGUAGUAAUACAAGGCAGACGGCUCAGUAACACGUAGUCAACCUACCCUAUGGACGAGAAUAAUCUCGGGAAACUGAGCAUAAUUCUUGAUAGAUCAUAAUGCCUGGAAUGGUUUAUGGUUAAAAUGAUUCGUCGCCAUAGGAUGGGACUGCGGCCUAUCAGCUUGUUGGUGAGGUAAUGGCCCACCAAGGCGAUUACAGGUACGGGCUCUGAGAGGAGUAGCCCGGAGAUGGGUACUGAGACACGGACCCAGGCCCUAUGGGGCGCAGCAGGCGAGAAAACUUUGCAAUGUGCGAAAGCACGACAAGGUUAAUCCGAGUGAUUUCUGCUAAAGAAAUCUUUUGCCAGUCGUAAAACCGCUGGUGAAUAAGGGGUGGGCAAGUUCUGGUGCCAGCAGCCGCGGUAAU